AAUCGUCGGCGUGUUCGACGGCGUCGUUUAACGGUGCCUCCAGUCUACUGCGCUCCGUCUGAGCGGCGCCAUGAGAGCGGCUGCGCCGGCGGCUCUCCUGGCUAACGCCCGCAUAUGUGCCCUCGCAAAUCCCAUUGUAGUGGCGGCCGGGGCGCCGGUCAUCCGGCCGUUCCCCUUUGUGGUGGUACGGCAACUCCAUCAAAGCUGCAGUCUGCUCCCACGCUCGCAUCGUCGAGCGGAGUUUCCUCAUCUAGCGGCAGAUGGAAGGUGUCCUGAAGCUAGCUUGCACGGAAUUUGACUCAUGAUGUGGGUGUUAAUCUUGUCAACAAUCUCGUUUCUUGGGCACAUGAUUGCUCUUUCUUCUAGCUUGGAAAUUCCGCCGUAUUUGCUUUCUUUACUGGACUACCUUCGGAUGAAUUCAGACACAUAUUUUUCUGGUAGGAUUUGCCUAGAGUCACCUCCCAAGACUAUAGUCAUUCCUCCAAAUGUUCUAUGCUCGACAUCCUCAUUUGUGAAUCGAAGAUUCCUUUCCAUUGGUAAUGGCAUGGAGCAUAUCAUAUGCUAUCAUUUUUGAAGGAAAAGGAGUGACCUGUAAGCGAACACAGUUUCAUGAUUAGUACUUGUUCAGUCUCUGCCAACUCCAAGGCUUUAAUUGGAAAGAAUGAUUAGCUCAUGGUCUUCAUGUUGUUUGUAAGAAAUAAGAUGUGCAUAGCCUAAGCUCAUGGUCUUCAUGUUGUUUGUA
This is a long non-coding RNA of Triticum dicoccoides, 742 nucleotides long. RefSeq lists it as uncharacterized. NCBI's taxonomy places the organism in Eukaryota, Viridiplantae, Streptophyta, Magnoliopsida, Poales, Poaceae. The record is from RefSeq and is a predicted model, not a curated record. The transcript has 5 exons.